AACCUAAAAAAUUUCUGCACCCAAAACAAACCUAAAACUAAAAUAAAAAACGAAAUCAACUCGCCAACCAAAUCACCGUGAGACAGCUUCACCUCGCCAGCCAAAUCACCGUGAGACAGCUUCACCUCGCCAGCCAAAUCACCGUGAGACAGCUUCACCUCGCCAGCCAAAUCACCAUGAGAAAGCUUCAACUCACCAGCCACCGCGCAACCGGAAAAGCUUUGCUCACCAGCCACCGCGCAUCAUCUUCUGAUCUGCUCGCCGGCCACCGUCCGACAGCUUCUGAUCUGCUCGCCAGCCACCACGCGACGGCUUCUGAUCUGCUCGCGCAGCCAGCCACCGUGCACCAGUAGGAGUAAAGUCCUCGUUACUCCAUACACUUUAUUAUAACAUUUGCAUAAAUUGCAUUUAGUAAUGCAUUUAGUAAGUCCCCGUUAAAUGACUGUUAUUGCUUUAAUUUUUUAUAUAAUUUUUUUAAGUGAAAACACUUUUACAACAUGAUUAGAAUUAAAUAUUUUCAGAAAUCCAAAUCUAAUCCACUAGGAAAGAUAAUAACAAUUACGAAUAUUAAGUUCCAUAAUAUGGCCAUAUUUAGAUUUUAUUUUGAUAUUAUGAUUGUUAUAAUUUUGUAAGAUGGAGGACAAUGUUGGCGAAGUACAAAAGGCUAAUAAUGAAGUGCAAAUGACAGUUGAUUGAUGUUGCUGACCAGUAAGUUUUCUUUUUUUUAAAAAAACUAAUAUCUUAUUUAUAUAGAUUGUUUAUAUAAUUAUUUAUUGUUUUAAAAUUUUUUUUAUAGAUCCAAAUAUUGAUUUGGAAAAUGCCUAAAGUUGAUGUUGAUAUUGAUGAAGAUGGGAGAAUGUUGUUGGCAUUUGUUUGCAAUUUUUUUUUUUUUGGUGAAGAUGGGAGAAUCUUGUUGGCGUUUGUUUCCAAAUUUUCUUUUUAUUUUGUGUUGUAAGUUGUAAUUGUUGUUAUUUUUAUUUAUCUUUACAACAUUAUGAUUAUGUUUAUGUAGAUGGAGUUUGGAGUUUGGUUAUGUAUUUUGAAAUCUUAAUAUUUCAUAUUUUGUGAGUACCUUAUUAGUAGUUAGUAAGAUAUUAGUGAUAAAAUGUGUUUUGAAUACUUUGUAUUUAUUGUUAAUAUUUGUAAUGAAACUAGGAUGAACUAAUUGUUGAAAAA
This 1176-nucleotide long non-coding RNA is filed under the name Citrus maxima (pomelo). RNAcentral describes it as "long non-coding RNA (CMAX_LNC001242)". Lineage: Eukaryota; Viridiplantae; Streptophyta; Magnoliopsida; Sapindales; Rutaceae. The record is from RNAcentral.